CAGGGAGACAACAAAAUGUUAAAUAUUAAUUUUGUCACCUUAGGUCGAUCGGUAUCUCAGGUUCUUAAUUACUUUAAGAAUUUCAUUUCCUAAGUUUUUUCUAGGUCACACCCAUUACUUUCCCUGGGCCAUUGGCUCAGGUGGUUAGAGCGCACCCCUGAUAAGGGUGAGGUCCCUGGUUCAAGUCCAGGAUGGCCCAUAUCCCUAUGUUGGGGGUAUAGCUCAGUUGGUAGAGCGCCUGCUUUGCAAGCAGGAUGUCAGCGGUUCGAGUCCGCUUACCUCCACUGAUUACCACCUCUUCCAUGAAUUUAAAGAAGGGAAUAGUUAUGAGCGUUGAUUUACUUCUGAACGAAUCUAGCUUCCUAAUAAAUACAUUAAGAUGCUGGACUCAUUGAAUUUUAUUCAUUGUUUUCAGAGAACCUUGACAACUGCAUAGAUUAUUUUUAAAGACAAUAAGCAUCUUUAAUGAUGCAGAUUUAUUAUUUGUGCUAAUGCAUUAAUAACAAUUCUAUUGAGCUGAUGCUUCAAUUAUUUGAAGUUAUU
RNAcentral lists this transfer RNA (543 nucleotides) under uncultured cyanobacterium. Its description in RNAcentral is "partial 16S-23S ribosomal RNA intergenic spacer". The stretch from base 212 to 284 matches the Rfam family "tRNA". Lineage: Bacteria; Bacillati; Cyanobacteriota. The record is from RNAcentral.